GAUGAACGCUGGCGGCGUGCCUAAUACAUGCAAGUCGAGCGAACGGACGAGAAGCUUGCUUCUCUGAUGUUAGCGGCGGACGGGUGAGUAACACGUGGAUAACCUACCUAUAAGACUGGGAUAACUUCGGGAAACCGGAGCUAAUACCGGAUAAUAUUUUGAACCGCAUGGUUCAAAAGUGAAAGACGGUCUUGCUGUCACUUAUAGAUGGAUCCGCGCUGCAUUAGCUAGUUGGUAAGGUAACGGCUUACCAAGGCAACGAUGCAUAGCCGACCUGAGAGGGUGAUCGGCCACACUGGAGCUGAGACACGGUCCAGACUCCUACAGGAGGCAGCAGUAGGGAAUCUUCCGCAAUGGGCGAAAGCCUGACGGAGCAACGCCGCGUGAGUGAUGAAGGUCUUCGGAUCGUAAAACUCUGUUAUUAGGGAAAAACAUAUGUGUAAGUAACUGUGCACAUCUUGACGGUACCUAAUCAGAAAGCCACGGCUAACUACGUG
This 497-nucleotide ribosomal RNA is filed under the name uncultured bacterium. Its description in RNAcentral is "partial 16S ribosomal RNA". It matches the Rfam family "Bacterial small subunit ribosomal RNA", at positions 28 to 507 of the family's 1533-position model. The record is from RNAcentral.